GGGAUUUUUUUCAAGCCUAUAUGUGUUAAGCUAUGCUAUAAAUUACUGCUGGUGGGUGUGAAAUAUAUAUCCAUGUAUAUUGAUGUGUGUGUAAACACACACACACACACACACACAGUAUGUUACAGUUAAAACCAUGUUGUCGACAGUCACUCAACUCCAGAGAAAUUUACUGUUCUAAAUGCAGACACACACUCAGGAUAAAGACAGGAGGAUUAUAAAUGCUUCGACAAUUACCAGAAUAAAGAAAGCGCCUGAGGAGCAUAAACAUUUGCAGCACAGCCUUGCGGGCUCACACUGGUGGCCGCGGACCUGUUGCAGAUGAGUGUCGGGGAGAUCAAACAUGAUUAAAAAUGCAAAGGUGCUGCACCCCGGCUACAUGCUUUAUUUGACAACAGCUCUGGACUCAAAGGCACCAGUGCAAUCCACUGAUCAAAGUGCUUUUCAGUAAUUCACGUGCCCACUGAGACUCACUACGAAGGACCUCUUAAAGGAGGCAGUUUUUUACAGCCAUUAGCAAUUCCAUUUUGAGACAAUCCUUCAAUAACACCAUUUUUUUUCACAGAGAAUUGACAGCUUGUUUUACCAAGAUGAGACCUAGAAGUUGUUAGCAACCUGCAUAAUACAUUAGCGAUCAGCAUCUGAACAGUGGGCUUGAGAAGAGAAUUCAGACAAAGACAUGUACAGCGGAGAGACCACGUGAAGACAGUGGGGACAGCCAUCUACAAGCCAACGAGAGAGGCUUCAGAAGAAACUGUGAUCUCCUUGACCUUGGACAUCUAGCCUCCAGAAUUGUAAACUCUAAGGAGGCAGGUGGUU
This is a long non-coding RNA of Myotis davidii, 819 nucleotides long. RefSeq lists it as uncharacterized. The transcript has 3 exons. The record is from RefSeq and is a predicted model, not a curated record. NCBI's taxonomy places the organism in Eukaryota, Metazoa, Chordata, Mammalia, Chiroptera, Vespertilionidae.